AUUUUCAGCUGUAAAUUGUUUUCAAAUUUUUUGUAAUAAGAAUGAAGUUUGUCCGUUAGUUUUUUUCCACAUCUGAAUUAAUCAGUGUUGGCCGCGUACUCGUUGUCAUAUAUAAAUUUUAGUACUCCUUAUGAUGACAAUAGAGCAGUUUACUCAAGGAAUUGAGACGCAUGGAUUCACUUAUUUCACACGUUGGAAAGUAUCAACAUCCUACAUUAAUGGACUGGAGGAGGUCGAGAAUAUUGCAGGUUUUAUGCAGUCUACGUAUAAUAGUUACUCAAAGUAAUUAAAAUUCAAUUGAUAGAAGUGCAUCAAAAAGAUGGUGUCAUGAAACCCUGACCAUUACAUAAAAAGGCAGUAUGGCAGAUCACUCAAGUCACGCUGAUACAUGAAUUCACAUUUCUCACGCGUGGGAUAGUAUCAACAGCCUACGUUGCAAAUGGACUAGAAGAUGCUGAGAAUAAUACGUGUUAUAUGCAAUAUACAUAAGGCAGUAUGGCAGAUCACUCAAGUCACGCUGAUACAUGAAUUCACAUUUCUCACGCGUGGGAUAGUAUCAACAGCCUACGUUGCAAAUGGACUAGAAGAUGCUGAGAAUAAUACGUGUUAUAUGCAAUAUACAUGUAAUGGUUAUUGAAAAUGGCAGUACGGCAGAUCACUCAAGUCACGCUGAUACAUGAAUUCACAUUUCUCACGCGUGGGAUAGUAUCAACAGCCUACGUUGCAAAUGGACUAGAAGAUGCUGAGAAUAAUACGUGUUAUAUGCAAUAAGGCAGUAUGGCAGAUCACUCAAGUCACGCUGAUACAUGAAUUCACAUUUCUCACGCGUGGGAUAGUAUCAACAGCCUACGUUGCAAAUGGACUAGAAGAUGCUGAGAAUAAUACGUGUUAUAUGCAAUAUACAUGUAAUGGUUAUUGAAAAUGGCAGUACGGCAGAUCACUCAAGUCACGCUGAUACAUGAAUUCACAUUUCUCACGCGUGGGAUAGUAUCAACAGCCUACGUUGCAAAUGGACUAGAAGAUGCUGAGAAUAAUACGUGUUAUAUGCAAUAUGGCAGUACGGCAGUUCACUUAAGGAAUUCUGACGCAUGGAUUCACUUAUCUCACACGUGGGAAAGUAUCAACAUCCUAUGUUGCAAAUGGACUUGAAGAUGCUGAGAAUAAUACGUGUUAUAUGCAAUAAGGCAGUACGGCAGAUCACUCAAGUCACGCUGAUACAUGAAUUCACAUUUCUCACGCGUGGGAUAGUAUCAACAGCCUACGUUGCAAAUGGACUAGAAGAUGCUGAGAAUAAUACGUGUUAUAUGCAAUAUGGCAGUACGGCAGUUCACUUAAGGAAUUCUGACGCAUGGAUUCACUUAUCUCACACGUGGGAAAGUAUCAACAUCCUAUGUUGCAAAUGGACUUGAAGAUGCUGAGAAUAAUACGUGUUAUAUGCAAUAAGGCAGUACGGCAGAUCACUCAAGUCACGCUGAUACAUGAAUUCACAUUUCUCACGCGUGGGAUAGUAUCAACAGCUUACGUUGCAAAUGGAC
RNA transcript from Rhopalosiphum maidis (corn leaf aphid), 1535 nucleotides. RefSeq lists it as uncharacterized. NCBI's taxonomy places the organism in Eukaryota, Metazoa, Arthropoda, Insecta, Hemiptera, Aphididae. The transcript is spliced from 11 exons. The record is from RefSeq and is a predicted model, not a curated record.